This 253-nucleotide ribosomal RNA is filed under the name uncultured bacterium. Its description in RNAcentral is "partial 16S ribosomal RNA". It matches the Rfam family "Bacterial small subunit ribosomal RNA", at positions 524 to 776 of the family's 1533-position model. The record is from RNAcentral.
UACGAAGGGGGCUAGCGUUGUUCGGAAUCACUGGGCGUAAAGGGCGCGUAGGCGGCUGUUCAAGUCGGGGGUGAAAGCCUGUGGCUCAACCACAGAAUUGCCUUCGAUACUGGAUGGCUAGAGACUGGAAGAGGUUGGUGGAACUGCGAGUGUAGAGGUGAAAUUCGUAGAUAUUCGCAAGAACACCGGUGGCGAAGGCGGCCAACUGGUCCGGUUCUGACGCUGAGGCGCGAAAGCGUGGGGAGCAAACAGG